Molecule: ribosomal RNA, 2928 nt
Filed under: Salmonella enterica subsp. enterica serovar Enteritidis str. SA20093266
Lineage: Bacteria; Pseudomonadati; Pseudomonadota; Gammaproteobacteria; Enterobacterales; Enterobacteriaceae
Also listed under: 1 other name
Description: bacterial LSU rRNA
Rfam family: Bacterial large subunit ribosomal RNA
Source: RNAcentral
GGGUUGUGAGGUUAAGCGACUAAGCGUACACGGUGGAUGCCCUGGCAGUCAGAGGCGAUGAAGGGCGUACUAAUCUGCGAUAAGCGCCGGUAAGGUGAUAUGAACCGUUAUAACCGGCGAUACCCGAAUGGGGAAACCCAGUGUGAUUCGUCACACUAUCAUUAACUGAAUCCAUAGGUUAAUGAGGCGAACCGGGGGAACUGAAACAUCUAAGUACCCCGAGGAAAAGAAAUCAACCGAGAUUCCCCCAGUAGCGGCGAGCGAACGGGGAGGAGCCCAGAGCCUGAAUCAGCAUGUGUGUUAGUGGAAGCGUCUGGAAAGGCGCGCGAUACAGGGUGACAGCCCCGUACACAAAAGCGCAUGUGCUGUGAGCUCGAUGAGUAGGGCGGGACACGUGGUAUCCUGUCUGAAUAUGGGGGGACCAUCCUCCAAGGCUAAAUACUCCUGACUGACCGAUAGUGAACCAGUACCGUGAGGGAAAGGCGAAAAGAACCCCGGCGAGGGGAGUGAAAAAGAACCUGAAACCGUGUACGUACAAGCAGUGGGAGCACNNNNNNNNNNNNNNNNNNNNNNNCCUUUUGUAUAAUGGGUCAGCGACUUAUAUUCUGUAGCAAGGUUAACCGAAUAGGGGAGCCGGAGGGAAACCGAGUCUUAAUUGGGCGUUAAGUUGCAGGGUAUAGACCCGAAACCCGGUGAUCUAGCCAUGGGCAGGUUGAAGGUUGGGUAACACUAACUGGAGGACCGAACCGACUAAUGUUGAAAAAUUAGCGGAUGACCUGUGGCUGGGGGUGAAAGGCCAAUCAAACCGGGAGAUAGCUGGUUCUCCCCGAAAGCUAUUUAGGUAGCGCCUCGUGAAUUCAUCUCCGGGGGUAGAGCACUGUUUCGGCUAGGGGGCCAUCCCGGCUUACCAACCCGAUGCAAACUGCGAAUACCGGAGAAUGUUAUCACGGGAGACACACGGCGGGUGCUAACGUCCGUCGUGAAGAGGGAAACAACCCAGACCGCCAGCUAAGGUCCCAAAGUCAUGGUUAAGUGGGAAACGAUGUGGGAAGGCCCAGACAGCCAGGAUGUUGGCUUAGAAGCAGCCAUCAUUUAAAGAAAGCGUAAUAGCUCACUGGUCGAGUCGGCCUGCGCGGAAGAUGUAACGGGGCUAAACCAUGCACCGAAGCUGCGGCAGCGACACUGUGUGUUGUUGGGUAGGGGAGCGUUCUGUAAGCCUGCGAAGGUGGCCUGUGAGGGUUGCUGGAGGUAUCAGAAGUGCGAAUGCUGACAUAAGUAACGAUAAAGCGGGUGAAAAGCCCGCUCGCCGGAAGACCAAGGGUUCCUGUCCAACGUUAAUCGGGGCAGGGUGAGUCGACCCCUAAGGCGAGGCCGAAAGGCGUAGUCGAUGGGAAACGGGUUAAUAUUCCCGUACUUGGUGUUACUGCGAAGGGGGGACGGAGAAGGCUAUGUUGGCCGGGCGACGGUUGUCCCGGUUUAAGCGUGUAGGUGUGUGUUCCAGGUAAAUCCGGUUCACUUUAACACUGAGGCGUGACGACGAGGCACUACGGUGCUGAAGCAACAAAUGCCCUGCUUCCAGGAAAAGCCUCUAAGCAUCAGGUAACAUCAAAUCGUACCCCAAACCGACACAGGUGGUCAGGUAGAGAAUACCAAGGCGCUUGAGAGAACUCGGGUGAAGGAACUAGGCAAAAUGGUGCCGUAACUUCGGGAGAAGGCACGCUGACACGUAGGUGAAGUGAUUUACUCAUGGAGCUGAAGUCAGUCGAAGAUACCAGCUGGCUGCAACUGUUUAUUAAAAACACAGCACUGUGCAAACACGAAAGUGGACGUAUACGGUGUGACGCCUGCCCGGUGCCGGAAGGUUAAUUGAUGGGGUCAGCGCAAGCGAAGCUCCUGAUCGAAGCCCCGGUAAACGGCGGCCGUAACUAUAACGGUCCUAAGGUAGCGAAAUUCCUUGUCGGGUAAGUUCCGACCUGCACGAAUGGCGUAAUGAUGGCCAGGCUGUCUCCACCCGAGACUCAGUGAAAUUGAACUCGCUGUGAAGAUGCAGUGUACCCGCGGCAAGACGGAAAGACCCCGUGAACCUUUACUAUAGCUUGACACUGAACAUUGAGCCUUGAUGUGUAGGAUAGGUGGGAGGCUUUGAAGUGUGGACGCCAGUCUGCAUGGAGCCGACCUUGAAAUACCACCCUUUAAUGUUUGAUGUUCUAACGUGGACCCGUUACCCGGGUUGCGGACAGUGUCUGGUGGGUAGUUUGACUGGGGCGGUCUCCUCCUAAAGAGUAACGGAGGAGCACGAAGGUUGGCUAAUCCUGGUCGGACAUCAGGAGGUUAGUGCAAUGGCAUAAGCCAGCUUGACUGCGAGCGUGACGGCGCGAGCAGGUGCGAAAGCAGGUCAUAGUGAUCCGGUGGUUCUGAAUGGAAGGGCCAUCGCUCAACGGAUAAAAGGUACUCCGGGGAUAACAGGCUGAUACCGCCCAAGAGUUCAUAUCGACGGCGGUGUUUGGCACCUCGAUGUCGGCUCAUCACAUCCUGGGGCUGAAGUAGGUCCCAAGGGUAUGGCUGUUCGCCAUUUAAAGUGGUACGCGAGCUGGGUUUAGAACGUCGUGAGACAGUUCGGUCCCUAUCUGCCGUGGGCGCUGGAGAACUGAGGGGGGCUGCUCCUAGUACGAGAGGACCGGAGUGGACGCAUCACUGGUGUUCGGGUUGUCAUGCCAAUGGCACUGCCCGGUAGCUAAAUGCGGAAGAGAUAAGUGCUGAAAGCAUCUAAGCACGAAACUUGCCCCGAGAUGAGUUCUCCCUGAGACUUAAAGUCUCCUGAAGGAACGUUGAAGACGACGACGUUGAUAGGCCGGGUGUGUAAGCGCAGCGAUGCGUUGAGCUAACCGGUACUAAUGAACCGUGAGGCUUAACCUUACAACGCCGAAG